Molecule: long non-coding RNA, 671 nt
Filed under: Cyanistes caeruleus (blue tit)
Lineage: Eukaryota; Metazoa; Chordata; Aves; Passeriformes; Paridae
Description: lncRNA (ENSCCEG00000001575.1)
Source: RNAcentral
GUAUUCUCUGGCUAGAGAGCAGUUCAGCAAAUAUGGUGUCUGGAAGCUGAAGGAGUGUUGCAACACUUAGCUUGGAGAUUGUUGUUUCCAACAGAUAGAUCUGUUGGCCUAAAUAUCCUACUUGGCACAAGUCCAUAUAAAGUUAUCAGUGACAGCAGCAUUGCAUUACAUGGCUCAUUUUAUGCUUCAUGUUCAGUGAUGUAAGGCAGUCAACUUGAAGAACAGGUGAAAGUGGUAAUUCUUACUGUCCUGGACAUACUUGUAGAUGUCUGAAAUGUAUGAAUAAUUGCUGGACUUAAUUGGCCAUCUCUAAAACUGGCAGUCCUGAAAAGGACAAGUCUGAUCUGUGAGUCCACCCUCGUUCUUCUUCCAGUACUGCAUUAGGACAAGGAUGCACUCUCUGCACAGGUUCAAGUUCAGUAAUUUAGAAUCUGCCAAAACUUCCAGGCUCAAUUUUCUCGUGCUGACCCAGUCCCAUAAUACUUGGAUUACAGCAGCGGUGGUUCUGUGGAAGCAGAUGCCUAACUCCCACAACUGCAGGAGAGAGGAACCAUGGAGCAUUGAUUACUAAAUCACUGUUGAUGAUACAUGAUUCCACUACACUAACAACACACAUCAUUACAAAUAUUGCCUAGUGUCUAAUCUCACAAUAAACACACAAACUGCCUUCA